CCCUUAGAUGUUCUGGGCCGCACGCGCGCUACACUGACGAUGGCAACGAGUUUUUCCUUCGCCGAAAGGUGUGGGUAAUCUUUUGAAACAUCGUCGUGUUGGGGAUAGAUCAUUGCAAUUUUUGAUCUUGAACGAGGAAUUCCUAGUAAGCGCGAGUCAUCAGCUCGCGUUGAUUACGUCCCUGCCCUUUGUACACACCGCCCGUCGCUACUACCGAUUGAAUGGUUUAGUGAGGACUCCUGAUUGGCGCCGCCGCCCCGGCAACGGAGCAGCGGACUGCCGAAAAGUUAUUCAAACUUGAUCAUUUAGAGGAAGUAAAAGUCGUAACA
This 329-nucleotide ribosomal RNA is filed under the name uncultured eukaryote. RNAcentral's name for it is "partial 18S ribosomal RNA". It matches the Rfam family "Eukaryotic small subunit ribosomal RNA", at positions 1470 to 1796 of the family's 1831-position model. The record is from RNAcentral.